Molecule: non-coding RNA, 97 nt
Filed under: Chloropicon primus
Lineage: Eukaryota; Viridiplantae; Chlorophyta; Chloropicophyceae; Chloropicales; Chloropicaceae
Source: RNAcentral
AAAAGUCUUCCCCUGCCACAUCACCUCCUCCUCCUCCGGUUUCCCUUUGCUCGCUCGGUUGUUUCGCUCCCUUGACGAGAGCAUCGCGCACGAUGGA